GUACUUACUUAUCAGCCCACACACUCAAAUUGGAAUGAUACACAGAUUAGCAUGGCCCCUGUGCAAGAAGGACAGAAAUUCAUGAAGCAUUCCAUAUCUUU
RNAcentral lists this small nuclear RNA (101 nucleotides) under Nannospalax galili (Upper Galilee mountains blind mole rat). Lineage: Eukaryota; Metazoa; Chordata; Mammalia; Rodentia; Spalacidae. The record is from RNAcentral.